Molecule: ribosomal RNA, 510 nt
Filed under: uncultured bacterium
Lineage: Bacteria
Description: partial 16S ribosomal RNA
Rfam family: Bacterial small subunit ribosomal RNA
Source: RNAcentral
GACGAACGCUGGCGGCGUGCUUAACACAUGCAAGUCGAACGAAGAGCGACGGAAGCUUGCUUCUAUCAAUCUUAGUGGCGAACGGGUGAGUAACGCGUAAUCAACCUGCCCUUCAGAGGGGGACAACAGUUGGAAACGACUGCUAAUACCGCAUACGAUCUAACCUCGGCAUCGAGGAUAGAUGAAAGGUGGCCUCUACAUGUAAGCUAUCACUGAAGGAGGGGACUGCGUCUGAUUAGCUAGUUGGAGGGGUAACGGCCCACCAAGGCGAUGAUCAGUAGCCGGUCUGAGAGGAUGAACGGCCACAUUGGGACUGAGACACGGCCCAGACUCCUACGGGAGGCAGCAGUGGGGAAUCUUCCGCAAUGGACGAAAGUCUGACGGAGCAACGCCGCGUGAGUGAUGACGGCCUUCGGGUUGUAAAGCUCUGUUAAUCGGGACGAAAGGCCUUCUUGCGAAUAGUGAGAAGGAUUGACGGUACCGGAAUAGAAAGCCACGGCUAACUACGUG